UGGCUCCCGCAUCGAUGAAGAACGCAGCGAAACGCGAAAUGUAAUGUGAAUUGCAGAAUUUACGUGAAUCAUCGAAUCUUUGAACGCAUCUUGCGCUCUUUGGUAUUCCGAAGAGCAUGCAUCUUUGAGUGUCGCAAACCUCUCACGCCCCCGGUCUUAAUCCGGCGCGGCUGUGGACCGUGGCCGUCUGGCCGGCGUCUCUGGCGUCGGCCCGGCCGAAAUACAUGCGGAGCGCAUCUGCUGCCGCGACGACCGAGCGUUGUAGACCCCUCGCUUGGACCCGUUGUUCCGUGCGCAGGCUCCUCGCCUCUUAUCAAUUCGACCUCAAAUGAUGUAGGAUUACCCGCUGA
This 350-nucleotide unclassified non-coding RNA is filed under the name uncultured fungus. RNAcentral describes it as "partial contains 5.8S ribosomal RNA and internal transcribed spacer 2". The stretch from base 1 to 134 matches the Rfam family "5.8S ribosomal RNA", at positions 22 to 154 of the family's 154-position model. Lineage: Eukaryota; Fungi. The record is from RNAcentral.